UGUCCAUAUCAUGUUGAAACAUUGGUUCCUAUUUGAUCACCCAAAUAAAGCAAUGUUGAGCCUGGUCAGUACCUAGAUGAGUGACCACUUGGGAAUACCAUGUUCUGUAA
Acanthosepion pharaonis is the source of this 110-nucleotide non-coding RNA. The record is from the annotation of a GenBank genome assembly. NCBI's taxonomy places the organism in Eukaryota, Metazoa, Mollusca, Cephalopoda, Sepiida, Sepiidae.